AGCUACCCAGCAAUGGGAUGCGAAUCUCGAAAGCCUGUCUCAGUUCGGAUUGGAGGCUGAAACCCGCCUCCAUGGAGUUGGAUUCGCUAGUAAUCGCGCAUCAGCCAUGGCGCGGUGAAUACGUUCCCGGGCCUUGUACACACCGCCCGUCAAGCCAUGGGAGCCGGGGGUGCCUGAAGUUCGUGACCGCAAGGAGCGACCUAGGGCAAAACUGGUGACUGGGGCUAAGUCGUAACAAGGUACC
This 244-nucleotide ribosomal RNA is filed under the name uncultured bacterium. Its description in RNAcentral is "partial 16S ribosomal RNA". It matches the Rfam family "Bacterial small subunit ribosomal RNA", at positions 1248 to 1500 of the family's 1533-position model. The record is from RNAcentral.